This 391-nucleotide ribosomal RNA is filed under the name uncultured bacterium. RNAcentral describes it as "bacterial SSU rRNA". It matches the Rfam family "Bacterial small subunit ribosomal RNA", at positions 28 to 417 of the family's 1533-position model. The record is from RNAcentral.
GACGAACGCUGGCGGCGUGCUUAACACAUGCAAGUCGAGCGGUAAGGCCCUUUCGGGGGUACGACGAGCGGCGAACGGGUGAGUAACACGUGGGUGACCUGCCCUCAGCUCUGGGAUAAGCCUGGGAAACCGGGUCUAAUACUGGAUAUGACUCCAUGACGCAUGUUGUGGGGUGGAAAGCCUUGUGCGGCUGAGGAUGGGCCCGCGGCCUAUCAGCUUGUUGGUGGGGUGANGGCCUACCAAGGCGACGACGGGUAGCCGGCCUGAGAGGGCGACCGGCCACACUGGGACUGAGACACGGCCCACGACUCCUACGGGAGGCAGCAGUGGGGAAGUCUUGCGCAAUGGGCGAAAGCCUGACGCAGCGACGCCGCGUGAGGGAUGACGGCCU